AGGAUUUAAAAGUCGAACAGACUUAUUUUAUGAACAUCUACACCCAUAAAUUACCUUAAUUCAACAUCGAGGUCGCAAUCUUUCUUGUCGAUAAGAACUCUCAAAGAAAAUAACGCUGUUAUCCCUAAAGUAAUUUCAUCUUAUAAUCACAACUUAUGGAUCAAAAAUCCUCUUAUCCAAGUAACCAAAAAUAAAGAGUUUAAUUAAUCUUCAAAUCACCCCAAUUAAAUAAAUUUAAUUAUAAAUUUCAAAUCAAAUAAAAUCAAUCUACAAAUAAAUUUAUGAAACUUUAUAGGGUCUUCUCGUCCUCCAUCAACAUUUUAGCCUUUUUACUAAAAAGUUAAAUUAUAAUAACAUUACACCGAGACAGUUAAUACUUCGUCCAACCUUUCAUUCCAGCCCCCAAUUAAAAGACUAAUGAUUAUGCUACCUUUGCACGGUCAAAAUACCGCGGCCCUUCAAAUACUCAGUGGGCAGGCCAGACUUUUUAUUCAUCCAAAAAGACAUGUUUUUGUUAAACAAGGGGG
Molecule: ribosomal RNA, 527 nt
Filed under: Camptonotus carolinensis (leaf-rolling cricket)
Lineage: Eukaryota; Metazoa; Arthropoda; Insecta; Orthoptera; Gryllacrididae
Description: partial 16S ribosomal RNA
Source: RNAcentral